CAAUAGCGUAUAUUUAAGUUGUUGCAGUUAAAAAGCUCGUAGUUGGAUUUCUGGUGGGGCUGUCGGCCUGGCUCCGAAAGGGGUCGUGGUUUCGUUACACGCCUGGCCAUCCUCGGGGGAAGCUUUGCUGGCAUUAAGUUGUCGGCGGAGUGACGCUCGUCGUUUACUGUGAACAAAUUAGAGUGUUCAAAGCAGGCUUAGGCCGUUGAAUACAUUAGCAUGGAAUAAUGAGAUAGGACUUUGGUGGUCUAUUUUGUUGGUUUGCACGCCGAAGUAAUGAUUAAUAGGGGCGGUUGGGGGUAUUCGUAUUCAAUUGUCAGAGGUGAAAUUCUUGGAUUUAUGGAAGACGAACUACUGCGAAAGCAUUUACCAAGGAUGUUUUCAUUAA
RNAcentral lists this ribosomal RNA (388 nucleotides) under uncultured eukaryote. RNAcentral's name for it is "partial 18S ribosomal RNA". It matches the Rfam family "Eukaryotic small subunit ribosomal RNA", at positions 592 to 976 of the family's 1831-position model. The record is from RNAcentral.